RNAcentral lists this ribosomal RNA (253 nucleotides) under uncultured bacterium. RNAcentral describes it as "partial 16S ribosomal RNA". It matches the Rfam family "Bacterial small subunit ribosomal RNA", at positions 524 to 776 of the family's 1533-position model. The record is from RNAcentral.
UACGUAGGGGGCAAGCGGUGUCCGGAAUUAUUGGGCGUAAAGCGCGCGCAGGCGGUCUCUUAAGUCUGAUGUGAAAGCCCACGGCUCAACCGUGGAGGGUCAUUGGAAACUGGGAGACUUGAGUGUAGGAGAGGAAAGUGGAAUUCCACGUGUAGCGGUGAAAUGCGUAGAGAUGUGGAGGAACACCAGUGGCGAAGGCGACUUUCUGGCCUAUAACUGACGCUGAGGCGCGAAAGAGUGGGGAGCAUACAGG